RNAcentral lists this ribosomal RNA (450 nucleotides) under uncultured bacterium. RNAcentral describes it as "partial 16S ribosomal RNA". It matches the Rfam family "Bacterial small subunit ribosomal RNA", at positions 354 to 796 of the family's 1533-position model. The record is from RNAcentral.
GUGGGGAAUUUUGGACAAUGGGGGCAACCCUGAUCCAGCCAUUCCGCGUGAGUGAAGAAGGCCUUCGGGUUGUAAAGCUCUUUCGGCAGGAACGAAACGGUGAGCUCUAACAUAGCUCGCUAAUGACGGUACCUGAAGAAGAAGCACCGGCUAACUACGUGCCAGCAGCCGCGGUAAUACGUAGGGUGCGAGCGUUAAUCGGAAUUACUGGGCGUAAAGCGUGCGCAGGCGGUUGUGUAAAACAGGUGUGAAAUCCCCGGGCUUAACCUGGGAACUGCGCUUGUGACUGCACGGCUAGAGUAUGGCAGAGGGGGGUGGAAUUCCACGUGUAGCAGUGAAAUGCGUAGAGAUGUGGAGGAACACCGAUGGCGAAGGCAGCCCCCUGGGCCAAUACUGACGCUCAUGCACGAAAGCGUGGGGAGCAAACAGGAUUAGAAACCCCUGUAGUCC